RNAcentral lists this ribosomal RNA (558 nucleotides) under Basidiomycota sp. LA216. Its description in RNAcentral is "eukaryotic LSU rRNA". The stretch from base 207 to 360 matches the Rfam family "5.8S ribosomal RNA". The record is from RNAcentral. Lineage: Eukaryota; Fungi; Basidiomycota.
GAUCAUUAGCGAAGCUCGGAAUGCAUGUCUGGUACUGAUGCUGCCCAGCAAUGGGAUGUGCUCGUCCGGAUGUGUGUCCCUUCUCUAUUCCACCCCACUGUGAACCAAGCGUUGUGAGCCGAAGAGAGAUCGGAGGCUUGCGCGCAACACUUAUCAUACCCCAUACGAAGUAACAGAAUGUACCUUGCGUUAACUCGCACAAAUAUAACUUUCAACAACGGAUCUCUUGGCUCUCGCAUCGAUGAAGAACGCAGCGAAAUGCGAUAAGUAAUGUGAAUUGCAGAAUUCAGUGAAUCAUCGAAUCUUUGAACGCACCUUGCGCCCCUUGGCAUUCCGAGGGGCACGCCUGUUUGAGUGUCGUGAACUCCUCCACCCUCUACCUUUUUCGAAGGGCAUUGGGAUGGGAUUUGGGAGCUUGCGGGUCCCUGGCCGAUCCGCUCUCCUUGAAUGCAUUAGCGAAGCCCUCGCGGCCUUGGUGUGAUAGUCAUCUACGCCUCGGCUUAGCGGACAUGUGGGAGUCGCUUCUAACCGUCUCGCAAGGGACAACACAUACCAACU